Molecule: ribosomal RNA, 465 nt
Filed under: uncultured Klebsiella sp.
Lineage: Bacteria; Pseudomonadati; Pseudomonadota; Gammaproteobacteria; Enterobacterales; Enterobacteriaceae
Description: bacterial SSU rRNA
Rfam family: Bacterial small subunit ribosomal RNA
Source: RNAcentral
CCUACGGGCGGCAGCAGUGGGGAAUAUUGCACAAUGGGCGCAAGCCUGAUGCAGCCAUGCCGCGUGUGUGAAGAAGGCCUUCGGGUUGUAAAGCACUUUCAGCGGGGAGGAAGGCGGUGAGGUUAAUAACCUCAUCGACUGACGUUACCCGCAGAAGAAGCACCGGCUAACUCCGUGCCAGCAGCCGCGGUAAUACGGAGGGUGCAAGCGUUAAUCGGAAUUACUGGGCGUAAAGCGCACGCAGGCGGUCUGUCAAGUCGGAUGUGAAAUCCCCGGGCUCAACCUGGGAACUGCAUUCGAAACUGGCAGGCUAGAGUCUUGUAGAGGGGGGUAGAAUUCCAGGUGGAGCGGUGAAAUGCGUAGAGAUCUGGAGGAAUACCGGUGGCGAAGGCGGCCCCCUGGACAAAGACUGACGCUCAGGUGCGAAAGCGUGGGGAGCAAACAGGAUUAGAUACCCUAGUAGUC